RNAcentral lists this non-coding RNA (28 nucleotides) under Cricetulus griseus (Chinese hamster). The record is from RNAcentral. Lineage: Eukaryota; Metazoa; Chordata; Mammalia; Rodentia; Cricetidae.
UGGUCAACAGAUUCGAGACUUAGAACGU